RNAcentral lists this ribosomal RNA (277 nucleotides) under uncultured bacterium. RNAcentral describes it as "partial 16S ribosomal RNA". It matches the Rfam family "Bacterial small subunit ribosomal RNA", at positions 28 to 308 of the family's 1533-position model. The record is from RNAcentral.
GAUAAACGCUGGCGGCGUGCCUAAUGCAUGCAAGUCGAACGCGGCUGACUUCGGUCAGUCGAGUGGCGGACGGGUGAGGAACACGUACGAGACCUACCCCCCAGCGGGGAAUACCCGCUCGAAAGGGCGGCUAAUGCCGCAUACGGUCCCUUGGGUAGAGCCAGGGGAGGAAAGCUCGCAAGGGCGCUGGGGGAGGGGCGUGCGGCCGAUUAGCUAGUUGGUGGGGUAAGAGCCUACCAAGGCGACGAUCGGUAGCUGGUCUGAGAGGACGGACAGC